This is a long non-coding RNA of Hippocampus zosterae (dwarf seahorse), 1744 nucleotides long. RefSeq lists it as uncharacterized. Lineage: Eukaryota; Metazoa; Chordata; Actinopteri; Syngnathiformes; Syngnathidae. The record is from RefSeq and is a predicted model, not a curated record. The transcript has 3 exons.
GGUUUGAAACCACGUGGAUGCAAUUACAAAAAAAAAUGACUCAGGUCCAAAAAAAUAAAAAGCCUUGAGCCACAUGCUGCUUCACCAGUCUUUUAUCACACGCAGCGUUUUGUGUUGCUUCGUACAGUAAUUCCCAAAGGCAGAGUUGGUUUAUUUUCAUUUGAGUUUAUAAAUAUGCAUUACUGUAUCUGCAGCAACAGCUAUGCUAAGCGUCCAGCUGUUCCCAGUUAAUUCCCGUUAACGUCUUAAAUAAGUUCUAUGGAGUGGGUGGCAGACCUUUGUGAAAAGGUGCGCUUGGAUGAGUUUGGUGUAAAAAGAGCAAGCCUUUCGGAGGAUCAAAAGUGGAGACGGUGGAAAAUCAGUGGCAAAGGCUCGAACCGCACCACAGUCCCUCCACUUCCUGUUUGUCGGAAUGCGUCGAUUUACUUUUGUCUAUGCUGAGAGACAUUCUUGCGGUCAACAGUCACAGACUCAAAUAGCCUCUGACGCAGUGUCUGCUCAACACAUGGCCUCCUCCAUCGCCUCGUCAGUCACCGACCGCCGUGCAAACAGUGCAACACCUCCUCCCAUCAGGAGCAGCCUGGGAAUUACCGAUAACGUAGUGAUAAUUCUGAGGCACAAGCGAAGCCUUGACGUCACAAGCAAGUGAUGAGAGAAAGCGAUGACACGGAUUAAGUGAUAAAUAGGAAGGAGAGCAGUAGAGGCAUCUCUUCGUCUGCUGUUCGAGGUUCUGGGAAGUCGACCGGACCCCUUCCUGCAAGUCCCACUUGAGCAGGGGGCCAUCCAUCAGCCCAGACACAUUGAGCUAUGUCAGCACGUCAGGAUAAGGAGCUGGGAAGACGGGAUGGAUGGCAGCAAGCUAUGUCGAGAGGUCACAUGGGGUCCUGGUGGCAGGACGGGAUGAGAUGGGGGGUGGGGGGGGGGGGUGAUGACGUAAUGCGUAUGAGACCGGUGGAAAAAAAGAUUGCGGUGGGACAAGUUUCCCCACUCUAAAAACCAGGAAGAACGUUGGGCAUCUCAUGGGGGUGAAACAUGGUUUUCAGCAUUUGGAGGAUUUUGUUCAUGAAAGGAGGACUAAUGAAGCCAAUUAGAGCACAACUACCCGUCUCGUCAGGCCAACGCUGACCUGAUAGGAAGCCAUUACGGAUGUGUGUGUGUGUCUCUCUCUCUCUCUCUCUCUCUCUCUCUCUCUCUCUCUCUCUCUCUCUCUCUCUCUCUCUCUCUCUCUCUGCAAUAACACCACCUUUGAUAAGUUGCCUCAUCCUAUUAUCACAUGGCAUUAUGAGUGUAAAUCAAUCACAGGCAGGAAGUGAUCCGGGUGGGUACAGGUAGACAGGAAAUUAGAAAAGAAGGUGGUGACAAGAAGGAAAAAAAAAUAACAUAAAAUCAACAGGAAAUUGGACAUUCAGGAAGUAGCUGACAGUGCUGUGCGGAAGAAAAUAAAUUCAGCCCCAAAGUUUCACUUGGCAACCUAAAGUUUGGAAGGCAUGUCAUUGUGAGUCCACCCGGAUGUCCGAAAAACCAAAAUACCACAAAAAGUCAGACAUGUUGGUUUGAAGUGGCCAUCGUGUCAAAGACACAAGACCAACGUUUGUUUACAAAAACAACGAAAAGAAAGGUUAGCUAAUUAGUUCAAUUGUCAUCCAAAAAAUAAAUAAAUAAUCUGACAGUGAAACGCAGCUAAAACUUCAAAACAUAAGCUGACAAGGAAACGAUGGCCUUUUAUCCGACAUGCUUUCCCUCA